UCAGCAGCCCGCGGUAAUACGUAGGGUGCGAGCGUUGUCCGGAUUUAUUGGGCGUAAAGGGCUCGUAGGUGGUUGAUCGCGUCGGAAGUGUAAUCUUGGGGCUUAACCCUGAGCGUGCUUUCGAUACGGGUUGACUUGAGGAAGGUAGGGGAGAAUGGAAUUCCUGGUGGAGCGGUGGAAUGCGCAGAUAUCAGGAGGAACACCAGUGGCGAAGGCGGUUCUCUGGGCCUUUCCUGACGCUGAGGAGCGAAAGCGUGGGGAGCGAACAGGCUUAGAUACCCUGGUAGUCCACGCUGUNAACGGUGGGUACUAGGUGUGGGGUCCAUUCCACGGGUUCCGUGCCGUAGCUAACGCUUUAAGUACCCCGCCUGGGGAGUACGGCCGCAAGGCUAAAACUCAAAGGAAUUGACGGGGCCCCGCNCAAGCGGCGGAGCAUGCGGAUUAAUUCGAUGCAACGCGUAGAACCUUACCUGGCGUUUGACAUGGAUGCGGGAGUGCCUCAGAAGAAUGGGUGUGCCUCNUUUGGGGUGCGGUUNCACAGGUGGUGCAGNC
This 552-nucleotide ribosomal RNA is filed under the name Propionibacterium sp. Smarlab 3301985. RNAcentral describes it as "bacterial SSU rRNA". It matches the Rfam family "Bacterial small subunit ribosomal RNA", at positions 508 to 1048 of the family's 1533-position model. The record is from RNAcentral. Lineage: Bacteria; Bacillati; Actinomycetota; Actinomycetes; Propionibacteriales; Propionibacteriaceae.